This 1032-nucleotide long non-coding RNA is filed under the name Equus caballus (horse). Its description in RNAcentral is "lncRNA (ENSECAG00000051806.1)". The record is from RNAcentral. Lineage: Eukaryota; Metazoa; Chordata; Mammalia; Perissodactyla; Equidae.
CAGAAUCCUGGCGGCCUCCACUUGGCCGGCAAGGGCCUGGCAGCCGUGUUUGUUGACAAGGGGCUGGGCCCUGCCGGACAUGUCCUGGGAUGGUCUCAGCAAUCCCCAGGAAAAGGAAGGAAAGGAAAAUGCUGCCCAGGAGAGUGUCCCGGCAGGGGCCCUCGACGGGAGCCAGGACUCCAAGAUGCACCAAGAGGCCACCCAUCUCCGGUCACGGGUCGGAAAGGGUCUGAUUUCCCAGAACUCGGCGGAAACCAAGCCACACACUUCAGCCUAGGUUUUCUAGGUUCCCACGUGUCUUGUUAAUUUACCAUUAGGGCAAUGCCAGGUGGCUUGGUCAGGUGGGAGUGGGCAGGGCCAACCUCAGGAACGCUGAAUACCUGGUCCUUUUCCAGGUGCCUGGAGGCGAAACCCUUUCUUCCACUGGUCAUUCAGUACAGGGUUAUCAAGCACCUACAAUAUUCCAGGCACCGUUCUAGAUGCUGGCGAUGCAACAGUAAACAAAAGUCAAUCUAGGGUAAUAAUAAUUUAUUAUUGUGGUAAAUAAUUAUUACAUAAUGGUAUAAUAUGACAUGAUAUGAUAUAUGAUAUAGUAUAUAUAAUAAUGUGUAAGUGUAUGGUCAUCCCUACCAUGUACCGAGCACUCAGUAGACACCAGGCACUAGUGCUUAGUGCCCUAUGUUCCCUGUAACCUUCACAACCUCUCAUGUGUAGUAUUAUUAUCCCCAUUUGACAGAUGGGACAAUCAGGGCUCAGAGAAGCUAGGUCCCAGCUGGCCCUUUGGCGAGUGCGAGUUAGGGAGUUCGAGGCCCAUCCUGGUUCAGGUCCAGCUCUGCCCUCUGAAGUCCAGCCUGACCCCUCCAUGUCUCUAUGUCCUGCAGAUCCUGGGCUCCUCCUCAUGCCGGGAUCUGACCCCAGGAUCCCCGCUUCAGUGCUGGCUCAGCCUACCUUUCUCAGCAGCUAGCCCGCCCAGAGGGAUGGCUGGAGAAGAGGACCCAGGGACCAGUUCAGGCAGGUGCUGGUGGCAUAGAG